RNAcentral lists this unclassified non-coding RNA (259 nucleotides) under uncultured fungus. RNAcentral's name for it is "partial contains 5.8S ribosomal RNA, internal transcribed spacer 2, and large subunit ribosomal RNA". Lineage: Eukaryota; Fungi. The record is from RNAcentral.
AACGCACAUUGCGCCUACUAGUAUUCUGGUAGGCAUGCCUGUUCGAGCGUCAUUUCAACCCUCAAGCUCUAAAAAUGCUUGGUGUUGGGGUAUUUCUGCGGCACUGCUGCAGGCCCUGAAGACAAGUGGCAGACCCCUAAGGUACUCCAGCGCAGUACUAUUCUCGCUGAAGAGUCAACCUGUGGGUUGUCUUGCUGGCAAUAGCCUACAACAUAACGUGGUUGACCUCGGAUCAGGUAGGAAUACCCGCUGAACUUAA